GAUGAACGCUGGCGGCGUGCCUAAUACAUGCAAGUCGAGCGAACGGACGAGAAGCUUGCUUUUCUGAUGUUAGCGGCGGACGGGUGAGUAACACGUGGAUAACCUACCUAUAAGACUGGGAUAACUUCGGGAAACCGGAGCUAAUACCGGAUAAUAUUUUGAACCGCAUGGUUCAAAAGUGAAAGACGGUCUUGCUGUCACUUAUAGAUGGAUCCGCGCUGCAUUAGCUAGUUGGUAAGGUAACGGCUUACCAAGGCAACGAUGCAUAGCCGACCUGAGAGGGUGAUCGGCCACACUGGAACUGAGACACGGUCCAGACUCCUACGGGAGGCAGCAGUAGGGAAUCUUCCGCAAUGGGCGAAAGCCUGACGGAGCAACGCCGCGUGAGUGAUGAAGGUCUUCGGAUCGUAAAACUCUGUUAUUAGGGAAGAACGUAUGUGUAAGUAACUGUGCACAUCUUGACGGUACCUAAUCAGAAAGCCACGGCUAACUACGUGCCAGCAGCCGCGGUAAUACGUAGGUGGCAAGCGUUAUCCGGAAUUAUUGGGCGUAAAGCGCGCGUAGGCGGUUUUUUAAGUCUGAUGUGAAAGCCCACGGCUCAACCGUGGAGGGUCAUUGGAAACUGGAAAACUUGAGUGCAGAAGAGGAAAGUGGAAUUCCAUGUGUAGCGGUGAAAUGCGCAGAGAUGUGGAGGAACACCAGUGGCGAAGGCGACUUUCUGGUCUGUAACUGACGCUGAUGUGCGAAAGCGUGGGGAUCAAACAGGAUUAGAUACCCUGGUAGUCCACGCCGUAAACGAUGAGUGCUAAGUGUUAGGGGGUUUCCGCCCCUUAGUGCUGCAGCUAACGCAUUAAGCACUCCGCCUGGGGAGUACGACCGCAAGGUUGAAACUCAAAGGAAUUGACGGGGGCCCGCACAAGCGGUGGAGCAUGUGGUUUAAUUCGAAGCAACGCGAAGAACCUUACCAAAUCUUGACAUCCUUUGACAACUCUAGAGAUAGAGCCUUCCCCUUCGGGGGACAAAGUGACAGGUGGUGCAUGGUUGUCGUCAGCUCGUGUCGUGAGAUGUUGGGUUAAGUCCCGCAACGAGCGCAACCCUUAAGCUUAGUUGCCAUCAUUAAGUUGGGCACUCUAAGUUGACUGCCGGUGACAAACCGGAGGAAGGUGGGGAUGACGUCAAAUCAUCAUGCCCCUUAUGAUUUGGGCUACACACGUGCUACAAUGGACAAUACAAAGGGCAGCGAAACCGCGAGGUCAAGCAAAUCCCAUAAAGUUGUUCUCAGUUCGGAUUGUAGUCUGCAACUCGACUACAUGAAGCUGGAAUCGCUAGUAAUCGUAGAUCAGCAUGCUACGGUGAAUACGUUCCCGGGUCU
This 1372-nucleotide ribosomal RNA is filed under the name uncultured bacterium. RNAcentral's name for it is "bacterial SSU rRNA". It matches the Rfam family "Bacterial small subunit ribosomal RNA", at positions 28 to 1381 of the family's 1533-position model. The record is from RNAcentral.